GUGCCAGCCGCCGCGGUAAUACGGAGGGGGUUAGCGUUGUUCGGAAUUACUGGGCGUAAAGCGCACGUAGGCGGAUCAGCAAGUUGGGGGUGAAAUCCCGGGGCUCAACCCCGGAACUGCCUUUGAUACUGGUAGUCUAGAGUUCGAGAGAGGUGAGUGGAACUCCGAGUGUAGAGGUGAAAUUCGUAGAUAUUCGGAAGAACACCAGUGGCGAAGGCGGCUCACUGGCUCGAUACUGACGCUGAGGUGCGAAAGUGCGGGGAGCAAACAGGAUUAGAUACCCCAGUAGUCC
This 292-nucleotide ribosomal RNA is filed under the name uncultured bacterium. Its description in RNAcentral is "partial 16S ribosomal RNA". It matches the Rfam family "Bacterial small subunit ribosomal RNA", at positions 505 to 796 of the family's 1533-position model. The record is from RNAcentral.